UGAGUUUUGCCUUGACUUCCCUUGGUGUC
Molecule: non-coding RNA, 29 nt
Filed under: Mus musculus (house mouse)
Lineage: Eukaryota; Metazoa; Chordata; Mammalia; Rodentia; Muridae
Source: RNAcentral